This 449-nucleotide ribosomal RNA is filed under the name uncultured bacterium. RNAcentral's name for it is "partial 16S ribosomal RNA". It matches the Rfam family "Bacterial small subunit ribosomal RNA", at positions 355 to 796 of the family's 1533-position model. The record is from RNAcentral.
UGGGGAAUUUUGGACAAUGGGGGAAACCCUGAUCCAGCCAUCCCGCGUGUGCGAUGAAGGCCUUCGGGUUGUAAAGCACUUUUGGCAGGAAAGAAACGUCGCGGGUUAAUACCCCGCNAAACUGACGGUACCUGCAGAAUAAGCACCGGCUAACUACGUGCCAGCAGCCGCGGUAAUACGUAGGGUGCAAGCGUUAAUCGGAAUUACUGGGCGUAAAGCGUGCGCAGGCGGUUCGGAAAGAAAGAUGUGAAAUCCCAGAGCUUAACUUUGGAACUGCAUUUUUAACUACCGGGCUAGAGUGUGUCAGAGGGAGGUGGAAUUCCGCGUGUAGCAGUGAAAUGCGUAGAUAUGCGGAGGAACACCGAUGGCGAAGGCAGCCUCCUGGGAUAACACUGACGCUCAUGCACGAAAGCGUGGGGAGCAAACAGGAUUAGAUACCCUGGUAGUCC